AUACGGAGGGUGCAAGCGUUACUCGGAAUCACUGGGCGUAAAGCGCGCGUAGGCGGUUGUUUAAGUCGGAUGUGAAAGCCCCGGGCUCAACCUGGGGACUGCAUUCGAUACUGGGCGACUAGAGUAUGAAAGAGGGAGGUAGAAUUCCAUGUGUAGCGGUGAAAUGCGUAGAUAUAUGGAGGAAUACCAGUGGCGAAGGCGGCCUCCUGGUUCAAUACUGACGCUGAGGUGCGAAAGCGUGGGGAUCAAACAGAAUUAGAAACCCUAGUAGUCC
RNAcentral lists this ribosomal RNA (274 nucleotides) under uncultured bacterium. RNAcentral describes it as "partial 16S ribosomal RNA". It matches the Rfam family "Bacterial small subunit ribosomal RNA", at positions 523 to 796 of the family's 1533-position model. The record is from RNAcentral.